Molecule: ribosomal RNA, 696 nt
Filed under: Aeromonas sp. EK-I31
Lineage: Bacteria; Pseudomonadati; Pseudomonadota; Gammaproteobacteria; Aeromonadales; Aeromonadaceae
Description: bacterial SSU rRNA
Rfam family: Bacterial small subunit ribosomal RNA
Source: RNAcentral
GAGUUUGAUCAUGGCUCAGAUUGAACGCUGGCGGCAGGCCUAACACAUGCUAGUCGAGCGGCAGCGGGAAAGUAGCUUGCUACUUUUGCCGGCGAGCGGCGGACGGGUGAGUAAUGCCUGGGGAUCUGCCCAGUCGAGGGGGAUAACAGUUGGAAACGACUGCUAAUACCCCAUACGCCUACGGGGGAAAGGAGGGGACCUUCGGGCCUUUCGCGAUUGGAUGAACCCAGGUGGGAUUAGCUAGUUGGUGGGGUAAUGGCUCACCAAGGCGACGAUCCCUAGCUGGUCUGUGAGGAUGAUCAGCCACACUGGAACUGAGACACGGUCCAGACUCCUACGGGAGGCAGCAGUGGGGAAUAUUGCACAAUGGGGGAAACCCUGAUGCAGCCAUGCCGCGUGUGUGAAGAAGGGCUUCGGGUUGUAAAGCACUUUCAGCGAGGAGGAAAGGUUGGCAGCUAAUAUCUGUCAGCUGUGACGUUACUCGCAGAAGAAGCACCGGCUAACUCCGUGCCAGCAGCCGCGGUAAUACGGAGGGUGCAAGCGUUAAUCGGAAUUACUGGGCGUAAAGCGCACGCAGGCGGUUGGAUAAGUUAGAUGUGAAAGCCCCGGGCUCAACCUGGGAAUUGCAUUUAAAACUGUUCAGCUAGAGUCUUGUAGAGGGGGGUAGAAUUCCAGGUGUAGCGGUGAAAUGCGUAG